GGGUCAUCAGCGGCAGACGGGUGAGUACACGUAGGUAUCUACCCCAGAGAGGGGGAUAACGGGUGGAAACAUCCGCUAAUACCGGAUAGACUUGUUCGGUCAAAGGGACAAUGAAAGGCUCCGGCGCUCUGGGAGGAGCCUGCGGNCCAUCAGCUAGUUGGCGGGGUAACGGCCCACCAAGGCAAAGACGGGUAGGGGGUGUGAGAGCAUGGCCCCCCACAAUGGGACUGGAACACGGCCCAUACUCCUACGGGAGGCAGCAGCAGGGAAUAUUGCACAAUGGACGGAAGUCUGAUGCAGCGACGCCGCGUGGAUGAAGAAGGCCCUCGGGUUGUAAAAUCCUUUACAGGGGGAAGAGGAAGGACGGUACCCCUGGAACAAGUGUCGGCUAACUACGUGCCAGCAGCCGCGGUAAGACGUAGGACACAAGCGUUAUCCGGAUUUACUGGGCGUAAAGCGUCUGCAGGCGGACAGGUAAGUUGGGCGUGAAAGCUCCGGGCCCAACCCGGAGAGGUCGUUCAAUACUGCGUGUCUAGAGGGUGUCAGAGGGGAGUGGAAUUUCCGGAGUAGCGGUAAAAUGCGCAGAGAUCGGAAAGAACACCAAUGGCGAAGGCAGCUCCCUGGGGCAACCCUGACGCUAAGAGACGAAAGCUAGGGGAGCGAACAGGAUUAGAGACCCUGGUAGUCCUAGCCCUAAACGAUGGAUGCUGGAUGUGGGGCCAUAGCGCUCCGUGUCGAAGCGAACGCGUU
Molecule: ribosomal RNA, 750 nt
Filed under: uncultured organism
Description: bacterial SSU rRNA
Rfam family: Bacterial small subunit ribosomal RNA
Source: RNAcentral